GGGAAUGUGGCUUAGUGGUAGAGUGCUUGCCUAGCAUGCAUGAAGCCUUGAGUUUAAUUCCUCAAUACCA
Molecule: transfer RNA, 70 nt
Filed under: Dipodomys ordii (Ord's kangaroo rat)
Lineage: Eukaryota; Metazoa; Chordata; Mammalia; Rodentia; Heteromyidae
Rfam family: tRNA
About the family: Transfer RNA (tRNA) molecules are approximately 80 nucleotides in length. Their secondary structure includes four short double-helical elements and three loops (D, anti-codon, and T loops).
Source: Rfam by way of RNAcentral